GGCGGGAUAGCUCAGUUGGUUAGAGCGCAGGACUCAUAAGCCUGAGGUCAGUGGUUCGAUUCCACUUCCCGCUACCA
This 77-nucleotide transfer RNA is filed under the name Candidatus Pelagibacterales bacterium. Its description in RNAcentral is "Pelagibacterales bacterium tRNA-Met". It matches the Rfam family "tRNA". From Rfam's summary of the family: Transfer RNA (tRNA) molecules are approximately 80 nucleotides in length. Their secondary structure includes four short double-helical elements and three loops (D, anti-codon, and T loops). The record is from RNAcentral. Lineage: Bacteria; Pseudomonadati; Pseudomonadota; Alphaproteobacteria; Candidatus Pelagibacterales.